GGAGGAGUGGCCCAGUGGUUACGGCGGGAGGUUGCUAACCUCCGACCCGCAAGGGUCUCGUGGGUUCGAAUCCCACCUCCUCCG
This 84-nucleotide transfer RNA is filed under the name Candidatus Collierbacteria bacterium. RNAcentral's name for it is "tRNA-Ser". It matches the Rfam family "tRNA". Rfam says of the family: Transfer RNA (tRNA) molecules are approximately 80 nucleotides in length. The record is from RNAcentral. Lineage: Bacteria; Candidatus Collieribacteriota.